GGCUCAGUAACACGUGGCCAACCCACCCUCAGGACGAACACAACCCCGGGAAACUGGGGCUAACGUUCGAUAGGCGAAGACUCCUGGAACGGGUCUUCACCCAAAAGGUACUAGGAUCAUGCUUCCUAGCAUCGCCUGAGGACGGGGCCGCGACCGAUCAGGUAGUUGGUGAGGCAACGGCUCACCAAGCCUAUAACCGGUACGGGCCGUGGGAGCGGGAGCCCGGAGAUGGGAACUGAGACAAGGUCCCAGGCCCUACGGGGCGCAGCAGUCGCGAAAACUCGUCAAUGCACGAAAGUGUGAACGGGCUACCCCGAGUGCCGUCCGCUGAGGAUGGCUUUUCUCCGCUGUAAGGAGGCGGAGGAAUAAGGCGAGGGCAAGUCUGGUGUCAGCCGCCGCGGUAAUACCAGCUCGCCGAGUGGUAGGGAUGAUUAUUGGGCUUAAAGCGUCCGUAGCCGGCCUCUCAAGUCUCUCGUUAAAUCCAGCGAUUCAAUCGUUGGACUGCGAGAGAUACUGUUAGGCUAGGGGGCGGGAGAAGCCGACGGUAUUUNCGGNGUAGGGNNANNAUCCUAUAAUCCC
RNAcentral lists this ribosomal RNA (579 nucleotides) under uncultured archaeon. RNAcentral describes it as "bacterial SSU rRNA". It matches the Rfam family "Archaeal small subunit ribosomal RNA", at positions 87 to 649 of the family's 1478-position model. The record is from RNAcentral.